Molecule: ribosomal RNA, 488 nt
Filed under: uncultured bacterium
Lineage: Bacteria
Description: partial 16S ribosomal RNA
Rfam family: Bacterial small subunit ribosomal RNA
Source: RNAcentral
UGGGGAAUUUUGGACAAUGGGCGAAAGCCUGAUCCAGCAAUGCCGCGUGUGUGAAGAAGGCCUUCGGGUUGUAAAGCACUUUUGUCCGGAAAGAAAUCCUUGGCUCUAAUACAGUCGGGGGAUGACGGUACCGGAAGAAUAAGCACCGGCUAACUACGUGCCAGCAGCCGCGGUAAUACGUAGGGUGCAAGCGUUAAUCGGAAUUACUGGGCGUAAAGCGUGCGCAGGCGGUUUGCUAAGACCGAUGUGAAAUCCCCGGGCUCAACCUGGGAACUGCAUUGGUGACUGGCAGGCUAGAGUAUGGCAGAGGGGGGUAGAAUUCCACGUGUAGCAGUGAAAUGCGUAGAGAUGUGGAGGAAUACCGAUGGCGAAGGCAGCCCCUGGCCAAGUACUGACGCUCAUGCACGAAAGCGUGGGGAGCAAACAGGAUUAGAUACCCUGGUAAUCCACGCCCUAAAACGAUGUCAACUAGUUGUUGGGGGAAUUCA